UUGGAAUAACAGCAGCAG
This 18-nucleotide non-coding RNA is filed under the name Mus musculus (house mouse). Lineage: Eukaryota; Metazoa; Chordata; Mammalia; Rodentia; Muridae. The record is from RNAcentral.